AUGUGCAGCAGGCUUAACACAUGCAAGUCGAGCGCCCCGCAAGGGGAGCGGCAGACGGGUGAGUAACGCGUGGGAAUCUACCCUUUUCUACGGAAUAACGCAGGGAAACUUGUGCUAAUACCGUAUGAGCCCUUCGGGGGAAAGAUUUAUCGGGAAAGGAUGAGCCCGCGUUGGAUUAGCUAGUUGGUUGGGUAAAGGCCUACCAAGGCGACGAUCCAUAGCUGGUCUGAGAGGAUGAUCAGCCACAUUGGGACUGAGACACGGCCCAAACUCCUACGGGAGGCAGCAGUGGGGAAUAUUGGACAAUGGGCGCAAGCCUGAUCCAGCCAUGCCGCGUGAGUGAUGAAGGCCCUAGGGUUGUAAAGCUCUUUCACCGGUGAAGAUAAUGACGGUAACCGGAGAAGAAGCCCCGGCUAACUUCGUGCCAGCAGCCGCGGUAAUACGAAGGGGGCUAGCGUUGUUCGGAAUUACUGGGCGUAAAGCGCACGUAGGCGGAUUGUUAAGUGAGGGGUGAAAUCCCAGGGCUCAACCCUGGAACUGCCUUUCAUACUGGCAAUCUAGAGUCCAGAAGAGGUGAGUGGAGUUCCGAGUGUAGAGGUGAAAUUCGUAGAUAUUCGGAGGAACACCAGUGGCGAAGGCGGCUCACUGGUCUGGAACUGACGCUGAGGUGCGAAAGCGUGGGGAGCAAACAGGAUUAGAUACCCUGGUAGUCCACGCCGUACACGAUGAAUGUUAGCCGUCGGGCAGUUUACUGUUCGGUGGCGCAGCUAACGCAUUAAACAUUCCGCCUGGGG
RNAcentral lists this ribosomal RNA (794 nucleotides) under uncultured bacterium. RNAcentral's name for it is "bacterial SSU rRNA". It matches the Rfam family "Bacterial small subunit ribosomal RNA", at positions 33 to 878 of the family's 1533-position model. The record is from RNAcentral.